RNAcentral lists this ribosomal RNA (497 nucleotides) under uncultured bacterium. Its description in RNAcentral is "partial 16S ribosomal RNA". It matches the Rfam family "Bacterial small subunit ribosomal RNA", at positions 28 to 507 of the family's 1533-position model. The record is from RNAcentral.
GAUGAACGCUGGCGGCGUGCCUAAUACAUGCAAGUCGAGCGAACAGACGAGGAGCUUGCUCCUCUGACGUUAGCGGCGGACGGGUGAGUAACACGUGGAUAACCUACCUAUAAGACUGGGAUAACUUCGGGAAACCGGAGCUAAUACCGGACAAUAUAUUGAACCGCAUGGUUCAAUAGUGAAAGACGGUUUUGCUGUCACUUAUAGAUGGAUCCGCGCCGCAUUAGCUAGUUGGUAAGGUAACGGCUUACCAAGGCAACGAUGCGUAGCCGACCUGAGAGGAUGAUCGGCCACACUGGAACUGAGACACGGUCCAGACUCCUACGGGAGGCAGCAGUGGGGAAUCUUCCGCAAUGGGCGAAAGCCUGACGGAGCAACGCCGCGUGAGUGAUGAAGGUCUUCGGAUCGUAAAACUCUGUUAUUAGGGAAGAACAAAUGUGUAAGUAACUAUGCACGUCUUGACGGUACCUAAUCAGAAAGCCACGGCUAACUACGUG